RNAcentral lists this ribosomal RNA (118 nucleotides) under Mus pahari (shrew mouse). Its description in RNAcentral is "rRNA (MGP_PahariEiJ_G0032756.1)". The record is from RNAcentral. Lineage: Eukaryota; Metazoa; Chordata; Mammalia; Rodentia; Muridae.
AGCUCAGACCAUACCAUUCUGAAAGUGCCUGCUCCUGUUUGAUGCUAGAAGCCAAGCAGGGUUGGGCCUGGUUAAUACUUGGCGAGACAAAUAAUAAUGGAAACAUUUAUGUGUGCAC